Molecule: long non-coding RNA, 488 nt
Filed under: Olea europaea subsp. europaea
Lineage: Eukaryota; Viridiplantae; Streptophyta; Magnoliopsida; Lamiales; Oleaceae
Source: RNAcentral
GUAAACUCCUUAUAAUAUGACAUAUUCAAAAACUAACUUCCGUCGACAUCAUAUGGGGUAUUAAAAUAUUUUUCAAAACUCAGCAGCGACCCGGUUGAAAGAUAAACCGGUGCAGUUCACUUAAAAUGGCAUAUAAAAUUUCCACCGACGUCAAAACCGCAUGAUUUUAAAUUUAUUCAGUAGCUAAUCCAUGAGACUAUCAAAUCCAAUUGGUUUCAUCAAAAAAUUCCAAAUAACGAGUGAGUUAUGAAUUUUUGAAAACAAUGGUAGAAGCUAAAAAACAGAGAUAACACUCAGCACAGUUUACAUUAUGUGACAUAUAAUCUUUUACUGAUAUUGGAUUGACAUGAUUCCAAUUUUAUUCAGUAUCUAACUUAUUAGGCUACCCAAUCCAAUUGGUUUCGUAUAAAAAUACCAAGUAACGAAAGAGUUAUGAUUUUUUUAAGAUGAGGCAGAAACUGAAAUUUCUGAGGAGACAUCGAAACUUU